UCGAUAUACAAGAAAAACAAACAGUAGGGCUAAAAUAAGUUAUUAAUUACUAAAGCACAAAUAUACCAAUUUCUUGUUUGCAGUUCAAAGGUCAAUGCACAGAGAUGAUGAUGACGCAUUUUAUUGUGGUAGUGUUGAAAUAACGUAGUAGUGUGAUUUUUUUUAAAAAUCAGAAGCAUUUUUCAUUAUUGAUUCUUGAUCUCUGCUAUCAUCCAACUGGCCGUUUCCAGUUGUGACUUAAAAAGUAGACGUAUCGUUGAUAUAGCUGGCUAACAUUAGCCACCACUAGCGCCCCGGAGCCCGUGUUGCUAGCUAAUAAUAAUGUUAACUAGCUUCCUUCUCGCACGAACUUCCUCCUUAAUUAGAUUUCAUUUCAAAUAAAAAGCUCAGUUUCUCUUAUGUUCUCUCAGUUCUCUCUUUUUGUUCGCUGUAAAAACUACGUUGAUUUUAAACAGUUAGCACUGCUGUGCUGUGCAACAAGCUUUGUGAUGUGUUUGUUGCAGUUUGGUGGGCGUGCCGGGGCCUGGCGGUCACACCUUACACAAUCGCACUAUCAGCAGCCAUACAAGGCAUGUGGUUGAUGUUAAUAUCCCGCGGCAAAUAAAAAGAAUACAUCAAUAACGCUGACUCAGGCAGGACACUGUAGGCUACUUGUGCACAUAAGGCAAUCGUGAAACAGAAGGCAUAAAAUAGCUCGUUUGUCUGGCUCAUAUAAGGGAAGGUUGGCGGAACAUUUUCUCCAGGUCUACCUUGGUGGCGUCGAGGAUCUCAGGAUAGCGGUGGGAAAUGUGUGGAUAUACACCUUCGGCUCCUUCCACUGAAGCACGCGCCUAAUAUUCAGCGGUGACUCGUGAGACCGGGGAAUCGGCCAAUCAGGUGACGGCGCCAUGUUCUGCACAGUAUCGUGGGUGAACAGCAUGGGAGAGCACUGACUGAAUCAGAAUUCUCUUGCUGCUUGUCAAAGCGGAUUAAACCUGAUAACAACAGACAGGUGGAUUAAUGAA
Molecule: long non-coding RNA, 1004 nt
Organism: Anguilla anguilla (European eel)
Lineage: Eukaryota; Metazoa; Chordata; Actinopteri; Anguilliformes; Anguillidae
Exons: 2
Source: RefSeq, a predicted model, not a curated record